CGGGGUGCACCAGGCGCGAAAACUUUACAAUGCGGGAAACCGUGAUAAGGGGACACCGAGUGCCAGCAUCAUAUGCUGGCUGUCCAGGUGUGUAAAAUACACCUGUUAGCAAGGGCCGGGCAAGACCGGUGUCAGCCGCCGCGGUAACACCGGCGGCCCGAGUGGUGAUCGUGAUUAUUGGGUCUAAAGGGUCCGUAGCCGGUUUGGUCAGUCCUCCGGGAAAUCUGACGGCUCAACCGUUAGGCUUUCGGGGGAUACUGCCAGGCUUGGAACCGGGAGAGGUAAGAGGUACUACAGGGGUAGGAGUGAAAUCUUGUAAUCCCUGUGAGACCACCUGUGGCGAAGGCGUCUUACCAGAACGGGUUCGACGGUGAGGGACGAAAGCUGGGGGCACGAACCGGAUUAGAUACCCGGGUAGUCCCAGCCGUAAACGAUGCUCGCUAGGUGUCAGGCAUGGCGCGACCGUGUCUGGUGCCGCAGGGAAGCCGUGAAGCGAGCCACCUGGGAAGUACGGCCGCAAGGCUGAAACUUAAAGGAAU
RNAcentral lists this ribosomal RNA (539 nucleotides) under uncultured archaeon. RNAcentral's name for it is "bacterial SSU rRNA". It matches the Rfam family "Archaeal small subunit ribosomal RNA", at positions 326 to 865 of the family's 1478-position model. The record is from RNAcentral.